AUUGAACGCUGGCGGCAGGCCUAACACAUGCAAGUCGAACGGUAACAGGAAACAGCUUGCUGUUUCGCUGACGAGUGGCGGACGGGUGAGUAAUGUCUGGGAAACUGCCUGAUGGAGGGGGAUAACUACUGGAAACGGUAGCUAAUACCGCAUAACGUCGCAAGACCAAAGAGGGGGACCUUCGGGCCUCUUGCCAUCGGAUGUGCCCAGAUGGGAUUAGCUCGUUGGUAGGGUAACGGCUCACCAAGGCGACGAUCCCUAGCUGGUCUGAGAGGAUGACCAGCCACACUGGAACUGAGACACGGUCCAGACUCCUACGGGAGGAAGCAGUGGGGAAUAUUGCACAAUGGGCGCAAGCCUGAUGCAGCCAUGCCGCGUGUAUGAAGAAGGCCUUCGGGUUGUAAAGUACUUUCAGCGGGGAGGAAGGGAGUAAAGUUAAUACCUUUACUCAUUGACGUUACCCGCAGAAGAAGCACCGGCUAACUCCGUGCCAGCCGCCGCGGUAA
RNAcentral lists this ribosomal RNA (506 nucleotides) under uncultured bacterium. Its description in RNAcentral is "partial 16S ribosomal RNA". It matches the Rfam family "Bacterial small subunit ribosomal RNA", at positions 30 to 523 of the family's 1533-position model. The record is from RNAcentral.